ACCAUCCUUUUCUUGGGGUUGCACUACUGUUUAAUGAGCACCUGGUGAGGGCAGUACUGCUAACGCCUGAACAACAGCCCGCAUCAACUAGAGCUUUAUCUUGGUGCAAUUUUUGGAAAA
This is a small nuclear RNA of Lutra lutra (Eurasian river otter), 120 nucleotides long. RefSeq annotates it as U4atac minor spliceosomal RNA. The transcript has a single exon. NCBI's taxonomy places the organism in Eukaryota, Metazoa, Chordata, Mammalia, Carnivora, Mustelidae. The record is from RefSeq and is a predicted model, not a curated record.